This 439-nucleotide ribosomal RNA is filed under the name uncultured bacterium. RNAcentral describes it as "partial 16S ribosomal RNA". It matches the Rfam family "Bacterial small subunit ribosomal RNA", at positions 338 to 795 of the family's 1533-position model. The record is from RNAcentral.
CCUACGGGGGGCAGCAGUGGGGAAUAUUGCACAAUGGGGGGAACCCUGAUGCAGCGACGCCGCGUGAGUGAAGAAGUCAUUCGUGAUGUAAAGCUCUAUCAGCAGGGAAGAAAAUGACGGUACCUGACUAAGAAGCCCCGGCUAACUACGUGCCAGCAGCCGCGGUACUACGGAGGAUGCGAGCGUUAUCCGGAUUUCUUGGGUUUAAAGGGUGCGCAGGCGGAAGAUCAAGUCCGCGGUAAAAUUGAGAGGCUCAACCUCUACGAGCCGUUGAAACUGGUUUUCUUGAGUGAGUGAGAAGUAUGCGGAAUGCGUGGUGUAGCGGUGAAAUGCAUAGAUAGCACGCAGAACUCCGAUUGCGAAGGCAGCAUACCGGCGCUCAACUGACGCUCAUGCACGAAAGUGUGGGUAUCGAACAGGAUUAGAUACCCCAGUAGUC